RNAcentral lists this long non-coding RNA (418 nucleotides) under Capra hircus (goat). RNAcentral describes it as "lncRNA (ENSCHIG00000000651.1)". The record is from RNAcentral. Lineage: Eukaryota; Metazoa; Chordata; Mammalia; Artiodactyla; Bovidae.
AAAGCUCUUAUAUACCUUCACUUUUUCCCAGCAAAUUCUAUUAAGGCAGCUGAACUGAGGAAAAGCAUCAUAUCAGCCUCUUACUUAACCACUCAGCACAGCCCAGUCAGUCUCCUACAACUGAGCAAACCCUGAUGUCUUUCAGCCAGCCUUCCACCACUCCAGGAUCUUUCACCUGGUUGUUUUACAGAUCCUAGAACCUCACCAGAUGGCAGAAAAUAACUACGUGCUGAUCACAAGCACAGCACUAAACCCCAGACUAGUUGGAAUUAGAAAAUAGAUGAUGAUGUACCACUCUGUUAAUCUCCCACCAACCAAUCAGAAGAACAUCUGAGCUGAUCAGGUACCUUGUCUUUAAAUAUCCUUUCCUGGAAGCCAUCAGAGAAUUCAGGUCUUUUAAGCAUGAGCUAUUGUUCUC